Molecule: long non-coding RNA, 128 nt
Organism: Sphaeramia orbicularis (orbiculate cardinalfish)
Lineage: Eukaryota; Metazoa; Chordata; Actinopteri; Kurtiformes; Apogonidae
Exons: 3
Source: RefSeq, a predicted model, not a curated record
GGUGAAAUACAGUGUGUCUAUUUACAAUUCAAAACAUUUAUUACAAAAGCUGCUGAUGAGAUAUGUUCAUCAGAUUUAUUCUAUGUAUUCAGUGGUUAUCACAGUUUUUAAUCACAUUUUGGAUUAUG